Molecule: long non-coding RNA, 1217 nt
Filed under: Marmota monax (woodchuck)
Lineage: Eukaryota; Metazoa; Chordata; Mammalia; Rodentia; Sciuridae
Source: RNAcentral
UGCAGACCAGGGCGGUGGUCUUGAGGUCUUGCAGCUGCUCAGUCCUCCACCCCAUCCUGAUCUGACCGCCUGUCUUCUUCCCUCCCACCGGGCCACAGUGGCUUUCCUGCUGGGCCAGGGACCCCUCAUCUCCUGACUUUGGCCCUGGCCCCUCUCGGUCUGCUCACGCGGCCACACGGGAUCCUAGCACCUAAGCCAGGCUCCCCACUGGCCCCAGUCCCUCCUUUCUCAGGCUUGUGGGAUCUUCCUGGGCAGCUGCCCUGGGCCUCUCAGACAUGCCUGCACACCACCCCUGCUUGCAGCCUCCUUCCCCAGAGACUCACACUGCUGCCUACGGGGCUUCACACCUACUGCUCCUGCCUGGACACGUCCCCCCAGAUGUCCACCUGGGUGCUUGGUAGGGGAGUGAAAGAUAUGUAGAUGAGUGGAUGAUGAAUGUGUGUGUGUGUGUGUGUAUGGGUGGUGGGGAUGUGUGGAAGGAUGUACGGGUGGACGGGUAGAUGGUUAGAUAGUGGUGAGUGGAUACCUGGAUGGAUGGAUGGAUGUUGGAUGGAUGGAUGGAUGGGUAAGUGGGUGAUGGAUGGGUAAAUAGAUGAAUAAAUGGGUGGGUAGCUGCAUGGGUGGAUUGGUGGGUGCCCCUUCCCUGCAUGCCAUCCAGGAAGUGUGGCCAAAUGGAAAGGCCCAGGUGGGUAUAUUUCUGCCUGGACCAUCCAGCCUGGCCCGAGGACAACUGGGCCCGGGUGUUGAGGGGCCAACAUACAGGUGCACAGCAGGACUGAGCAAGCGCCAGCUGCCAGCUGGAGCCCCUUUGGGCUGUGUUCCACUGGGCUCCUCCACUCUUCCUCUGGGGACUCGGCCCCUCGGGACCAUCUGUGGGCUACCCUAGUGGUCUCGUGGGCCCAGGCCUCAAGCCAAGCCCCUCUGUCACCCUGCUUGCUGUCCCUGAGGCACACUGCUUGUCCCUGUGUGGAUGUUGGCUGUCUGCCUCUGUCACACACCAGCUCUGCUGCCUGGGAGGGGUGGACCUGGCCCACACCCAGCGGCAGAGGCCGAGCCAGGCAGACUCAGGGCAGGCCUGCAGAGGUCGGCCCCUCAGCUUCGUCACCCUGCUCAUGUCUUUCUCCCACCGCCCCUCCCCCACUUCUAGAAGUUUCUACUUCAUACCUGCCAGAGACUGUAUUAGUUAUCCGUCACCACAUACUGGAUUACCCCCAAAU